Long non-coding RNA from Rhineura floridana, 589 nucleotides. RefSeq lists it as uncharacterized. The record is from RefSeq and is a predicted model, not a curated record. NCBI's taxonomy places the organism in Eukaryota, Metazoa, Chordata, Lepidosauria, Squamata, Rhineuridae. The transcript has 3 exons.
GGGAGAUUCAUAUGCUCAGUAGAUUUCAAACAAGCAUAUGAGUCACCAGCCAGCCAUUUGGGAUCUUCAGUAACUGAAAACUCUGCUGAAGCUAGCUCCCUGCCAUGUCCAACACCCCUGUGGAAGACGAACUCUGCAGAUCUGCCAAGAAAUCAUCCCAGACACCUCAUCCUUAGAUGCAUCCUUGGCAUUCAAACCAAUUGAAACAGACAAUAUUUUACCAAGAAAACGGAAGACAGCAAUGAAAUGCAUUGUCAGAGCAACUGUGUAUGCCAUUUUGAAGCAAUGUUUAAUGCAAAAUAUGUAUAAUUCUUGUGAGGGGUGCCUAAUUCAGGCCCCAUCUCAGAAAAGACAUGACUGUCUGACCUGGACAAAUCCUGUCCUUUCUAGAAUGUUGAGAAUUAUAUGUGGAAAGAUCUGUUUUAAAAGUGUGCUCCAUGUUGUUAUCUUAGCAUCAUACAGUCUGAAUUGUCUUAUUCUAACACAAGCAACUGUUGAUGCAGUAUUAACCCUUGUAACAAGGGUAGGCCGUUCCCAGAAGUCUGUCAAAUUUGUUGAAAAGAUACUGAGAGACACUGACCAGUCAUAU